AGAAAUGGCUACAUCAGAGACUCUGAGGAAGACUCCAAGAGAGACUGGCUAGAGAAGCUGAGGCCAGAAGAUUAGAAGAGAAAGGUUGGCCAGGGAAGCAGAAGAAGCAAGAAGAUUGGAAGAGGAAAGAAUUGCUAAGGAAGCAGAACUUCUAAGGAUUAAGGAAGCUGAAGCUAAGGCUCAGGCAGACGCAGAAGCCCAAGCUGCUGCUGAAGCUG
RNAcentral lists this long non-coding RNA (218 nucleotides) under Lathyrus oleraceus (garden pea). RNAcentral describes it as "Pisum sativum (pea) long non-coding RNA (PSAT_LNC034443)". Lineage: Eukaryota; Viridiplantae; Streptophyta; Magnoliopsida; Fabales; Fabaceae. The record is from RNAcentral.